AGAAAUAAAACUAAAACUGUUCAACAACCAUCAGUUUGAUGGAGAUCAGAAAGAUUGGACUGUUUCAGUGGAAAAGGUCAUGUGAUCUGAU
This is a long non-coding RNA of Sphaeramia orbicularis (orbiculate cardinalfish), 91 nucleotides long. RefSeq lists it as uncharacterized. The transcript is spliced from 3 exons. The record is from RefSeq and is a predicted model, not a curated record. Lineage: Eukaryota; Metazoa; Chordata; Actinopteri; Kurtiformes; Apogonidae.